RNAcentral lists this unclassified non-coding RNA (24 nucleotides) under Mus musculus (house mouse). RNAcentral's name for it is "oocyte_clustered_small_RNA10715". The record is from RNAcentral. Lineage: Eukaryota; Metazoa; Chordata; Mammalia; Rodentia; Muridae.
UGGAGAGAGUGCGUCAGAUCUACA